Molecule: long non-coding RNA, 1350 nt
Filed under: Mus musculus (house mouse)
Lineage: Eukaryota; Metazoa; Chordata; Mammalia; Rodentia; Muridae
Description: long non-coding RNA chr2:70427845-70429195
Source: RNAcentral
GUUCCUAUUUCAUGACAUUAUAUGCCGUCAUACUCUAUACAGUUCAGUACAAGCAGCUUUCUUGAGCACAUACCUGUGAGAACAAAACAAGAUGGAAGGUUGCUAUGUGCUGUGACAGUGAGUCCGCGUGAAGACUCCUCUAGAGCAGAUGUUCUUAAUAUUUUCUUUCUCUAAAAUACUUUGUUGAUUUCAGAAAAAUACUUUAAAAUAUAGAAAAAGUUACUAUUGUCAGGGUUUGUUUUGUUUUGUUUUGUUUUCCUUUAACGGAGGGCACAAGCAAAUAUACUCUGAACAGAAACAAUUAAGUGAGGUUGGUGUGCUCACUUUUCCCAUGGAGGUGUGGGACAACCUCUAUACACACCAAGUAAGACACCCGUGACAGACAGAAGAAAGGAAACCACCCAAGUCUAGCUUGCUGAAGCAGUGGGUUUAACCAGGCUUCCUGGGGCUGGAAGGAUGGAGCAGAGGCUACGAGCACUUGCUCUUGCACAAGACCUGGGUUCAGUUCCCAGCACCCUCAUGUGCACAUACACAUAUACAUGCAAGCAAGACAUAUAUAUAUAUAUAUAUAUAUAUAUAUAUAUAUAUAUAUAUAUAUUAAAAUAAAUAAAUCUAAGAUGGCUGUAGGGCUGCUUACAGAGGUAUGGGCAGCUAUACCACCAGAGAAUAGCUAUCCCCAUAGUAACAGCUAACCCCUCAGGGAAAGGCAGGGUCCCUCUGAAUAAGUACACAGCUCUGCACACCUUUCCUGCUUCCACAAGAGAAAUGUUAGUGAGCCCAGUCUUGCUCUGACUUCAAGAGGACAGUGGCUACAUCGUGUCCGGAGAACAGAGUUGCACAACAGAGACAUUUAAAGAGCUCAGAAAUUAUAAUAUUAUUUAAAAAAGUUAUAGACAAUUUUAGUAGAUAAAUUGUGCUUUUUUUUUAAAAAAAGAUAAGUCUCGGGUUUUUCCAGCUCUUCGUUGAAAACGUAACAUUUCUAUGGUGUAAGAGUGGAGCAGACAAAACAAAAUUAACUUAGCUGCUUAGGAAAUAAUGCUUAGGGUAAUUCUGUGAUCCAGCACUUGAAUGUGCAGGGUUUAAUCCCCAGAACAAGAAAGAUGAAGAGAUGAGAGGGAGAGAAAAAGCCUAGCAUGUGCAGAUUUUCUCUGAGUGCCUUCGGAAAUUCCACUUUUAUCAUUGAUUAAUCUACUUUGAUGAAACUUUUUCAAACUGUUGAUAAGAAUAUUCAUAACUUUCUGCAUGUCCACAUACAAUGUAAUUGUAAAUCUGCCUUGUUUCUUUCUCACUAAAAUGUGUCUAUGAAUAAAGGUUAAAAGAAAAAGAAAUAAAGAAAGAAUCACUAAAUCC